Molecule: ribosomal RNA, 2389 nt
Filed under: Salmonella enterica
Lineage: Bacteria; Pseudomonadati; Pseudomonadota; Gammaproteobacteria; Enterobacterales; Enterobacteriaceae
Also listed under: 1 other name
Description: bacterial LSU rRNA
Rfam family: Bacterial large subunit ribosomal RNA
Source: RNAcentral
AUAGGGGAGCCGGAGGGAAACCGAGUCUUAAUUGGGCGUUAAGUUGCAGGGUAUAGACCCGAAACCCGGUGAUCUAGCCAUGGGCAGGUUGAAGGUUGGGUAACACUAACUGGAGGACCGAACCGACUAAUGUUGAAAAAUUAGCGGAUGACCUGUGGCUGGGGGUGAAAGGCCAAUCAAACCGGGAGAUAGCUGGUUCUCCCCGAAAGCUAUUUAGGUAGCGCCUCGUGAAUUCAUCUCCGGGGGUAGAGCACUGUUUCGGCUAGGGGGCCAUCCCGGCUUACCAACCCGAUGCAAACUGCGAAUACCGGAGAAUGUUAUCACGGGAGACACACGGCGGGUGCUAACGUCCGUCGUGAAGAGGGAAACAACCCAGACCGCCAGCUAAGGUCCCAAAGUCAUGGUUAAGUGGGAAACGAUGUGGGAAGGCCCAGACAGCCAGGAUGUUGGCUUAGAAGCAGCCAUCAUUUAAAGAAAGCGUAAUAGCUCACUGGUCGAGUCGGCCUGCGCGGAAGAUGUAACGGGGCUAAACCAUGCACCGAAGCUGCGGCAGCGAACGUAUCACCCAAGACAACUUUACGGAGUUGACGAUUGACGGAGCGAAGCGACGUCAAAGCGUUCAUUAAAGUCGAGUUGGCUUAGGGAUACGUUCGUUGGGUAGGGGAGCGUUCUGUAAGCCUGUGAAGGUGUGUCGUGAGGCAUGCUGGAGGUAUCAGAAGUGCGAAUGCUGACAUAAGUAACGAUAAAGCGGGUGAAAAGCCCGCUCGCCGGAAGACCAAGGGUUCCUGUCCAACGUUAAUCGGGGCAGGGUGAGUCGACCCCUAAGGCGAGGCCGAAAGGCGUAGUCGAUGGGAAACGGGUUAAUAUUCCCGUACUUGGUGUUACUGCGAAGGGGGGACGGAGAAGGCUAUGUUGGCCGGGCGACGGUUGUCCCGGUUUAAGCGUGUAGGUGUGUGUUCCAGGUAAAUCCGGUUCACUUUAACACUGAGGCGUGACGACGAGGCACUACGGUGCUGAAGCAACAAAUGCCCUGCUUCCAGGAAAAGCCUCUAAGCAUCAGGUAACAUCAAAUCGUACCCCAAACCGACACAGGUGGUCAGGUAGAGAAUACCAAGGCGCUUGAGAGAACUCGGGUGAAGGAACUAGGCAAAAUGGUGCCGUAACUUCGGGAGAAGGCACGCUGACACGUAGGUGAAGUGAUUUACUCAUGGAGCUGAAGUCAGUCGAAGAUACCAGCUGGCUGCAACUGUUUAUUAAAAACACAGCACUGUGCAAACACGAAAGUGGACGUAUACGGUGUGACGCCUGCCCGGUGCCGGAAGGUUAAUUGAUGGGGUCAGCGCAAGCGAAGCUCCUGAUCGAAGCCCCGGUAAACGGCGGCCGUAACUAUAACGGUCCUAAGGUAGCGAAAUUCCUUGUCGGGUAAGUUCCGACCUGCACGAAUGGCGUAAUGAUGGCCAGGCUGUCUCCACCCGAGACUCAGUGAAAUUGAACUCGCUGUGAAGAUGCAGUGUACCCGCGGCAAGACGGAAAGACCCCGUGAACCUUUACUAUAGCUUGACACUGAACAUUGAGCCUUGAUGUGUAGGAUAGGUGGGAGGCUUUGAAGUGUGGACGCCAGUCUGCAUGGAGCCGACCUUGAAAUACCACCCUUUAAUGUUUGAUGUUCUAACGUGGACCCGUUACCCGGGUUGCGGACAGUGUCUGGUGGGUAGUUUGACUGGGGCGGUCUCCUCCUAAAGAGUAACGGAGGAGCACGAAGGUUGGCUAAUCCUGGUCGGACAUCAGGAGGUUAGUGCAAUGGCAUAAGCCAGCUUGACUGCGAGCGUGACGGCGCGAGCAGGUGCGAAAGCAGGUCAUAGUGAUCCGGUGGUUCUGAAUGGAAGGGCCAUCGCUCAACGGAUAAAAGGUACUCCGGGGAUAACAGGCUGAUACCGCCCAAGAGUUCAUAUCGACGGCGGUGUUUGGCACCUCGAUGUCGGCUCAUCACAUCCUGGGGCUGAAGUAGGUCCCAAGGGUAUGGCUGUUCGCCAUUUAAAGUGGUACGCGAGCUGGGUUUAGAACGUCGUGAGACAGUUCGGUCCCUAUCUGCCGUGGGCGCUGGAGAACUGAGGGGGGCUGCUCCUAGUACGAGAGGACCGGAGUGGACGCAUCACUGGUGUUCGGGUUGUCAUGCCAAUGGCACUGCCCGGUAGCUAAAUGCGGAAGAGAUAAGUGCUGAAAGCAUCUAAGCACGAAACUUGCCCCGAGAUGAGUUCUCCCUGAGACUUAGAGUCUCCUGAAGGAACGUUGAAGACGACGACGUUGAUAGGCCGGGUGUGUAAGCGCAGCGAUGCGUUGAGCUAACCGGUACUAAUGAACCGUGAGGCUUAACCUUACAACGCCGAAG